This 207-nucleotide ribosomal RNA is filed under the name uncultured bacterium. RNAcentral's name for it is "partial 16S ribosomal RNA". It matches the Rfam family "Bacterial small subunit ribosomal RNA", at positions 568 to 774 of the family's 1533-position model. The record is from RNAcentral.
CGCGCAGGCGGUCGUUCAAGUCGAGUGUGAAAGCCCCCGGCUCAACUGGGGAGGGUCACUCGAUACUGAUCGACUCGAAGGCGGGAGAGGGAAGCGGAAUUCCCGGUGUAGUGGUGAAAUGCGUAGAUAUCGGGAGGAACACCAGUGGCGAAGGCGGCUUCCUGGCCUGUUCUUGACGCUGAGGCGCGAAAGCUAGGGGAGCAAACG